UAUUUUUGUAUAGUUCCAAUAUCAAGAGUGAGAUUUUUUUUUUAUUUGACAUGUCUGGUGAUGAUCCCUUAUGGUGGUUUGGGUUUUGAUUGUGAUCUUUUUUCUCUUGAUUUGUUUUCCUUUGAUUGUGACUUUUCCUCCAUAGCAUUCCCUUACAGCCUUGGCUGUAGACCUGUCUGGACAUGUCCCUUCUCUGAAGGCAUCUGCCAGCUCUUCUAGGUCUUAGCAGUGAUAACUGGUUUUUAUGUUAUUUUUUUUUUUUUUUUUUUUUAGCUCGGAUGCUUGUACACAUGCUGAAUAGAAUCCAAGCCUGUCCACUGGGUGCUGAGUCCUUGAUGGGCGGACACCAAUCUCUCCUUGGGCAGGUGUGAAGUUCUCUCGCUUUCCACAUCGUGGACACACCAGCCCCGGUGAUCCCCACCUCUGUGACAGCUAGCUCUGCUGCACAAGGUCUACAGCCAAGACUCCUCAACUGCGUGCGCUCAGCACCCAGCCCAGCUGAGCUGUUCAGAGGGAAGAAAGGCCCAAUUCCCUCAGAAGUCAGAUAAUAAGAUGAAGAUUUCGUUUGUUGAAAGGAAGGAGCCAAGAGAGCAAGGCAGGGAGCCCAGAGAAGAGCUGACAGGGGUACUUCUUUGGAAAAAGUUCAGAGCUACUUGGAGCAAGCGGGAAUGGAGCCAAUCUCUGAGGAGGCUGGAGCGCCGAACAGAUCCAGGGGGCCCAGGAGUAAUGAGCCUGGAGCGAGAGGCAGCUCCCAGUGUGAAGGUCCUUUUCUUCUGCUACUGCACGGUGGUCUGACCCCCACCUCCAGUGCUUACGACUCAAGCAGCAUCCAUCACUUCCGGUCAGUGUCUAGAAGCACGCAGGAAGUGAAGACGGUCCUGACCCCUGCAGGAUGCGCAGCUGCCCCGAGCUAUCGGGCUACCAGGAGGAGACUUGAAGUCCGGAGGAGUAGAGUCUACCUCAGACAAAGCAAACAGUCUAGUUUCUGGUCUCCAGAGGCUAAGAGAUUGAAGCCACUUUGGCAGGCACGAGAAGACCCCAAGCCCCUUCCCUCCCUCCCCCAUUCCCCAGCAGCAGGGGCCGUGAGUGGCAGUUAGGGACGACAUCUUGGAGGGAGCUGGAGACUCAAUUCUAUUCUUGUUCAGCUGGUAGGAUGCCAAUCACUACAUCACAAGCGGCCUGAUUGGGAGCACUAAAGAAAAAGCAGGGACACAAAUAUCCCAGGGUAGGGGUGAGGGGAGAGGGGCACAGGGAAGAGACAACUCAACCAACAGCCCCUCAAGGCCAGGAAAAGGAGGCAGGUUUCUUGAGUGUGGGUAAGAGAAUCCUGGGGGUUUUCGAAUCCAGCUGCAGAGGCAAUGGAACCUCAGCGCUGCGUCGUGGCCAGAGGGGACACUGUGUUGGGACACCGUGGGUGAGCAAGGAGAGUGACCCCAGGACCCCAGGGUUGAUGAAGGUCAAGGAGUCCAGGGAUACUUUCCUCAACUUGGUGCUGGUGAUGGCAAACACUUCCCAUAGACACUCUCUGAAGCACUGUGCAUGUAAUAAUUCACUUCAUCCUCAGAACAACCUUGCAAGCGUGGACCAAGCAAGCCACUUCCCUGAGUUCCCAUCAUCAGUAAGAGGCAGGGCUACUUUCCAAGUCCUGACGGAAUGGAUGGCUCGGGUGCCCAUGCUCUUCACGGUAGACUUAGUGGUGUUUUUAAACCGAGAAACAUGUCAGUAGCUAAUAAUAUCAGUACCACUGGCUGCCACAUUGUGCCUGUUCUGUGCCCUGCGCCGGCGCCCCCUAGGAGAGUUCCAUGAGAAAGUGUUACUCCCAAAGAUGGGAGGAGAAA
Molecule: non-coding RNA, 1838 nt
Organism: Peromyscus maniculatus bairdii (prairie deer mouse)
Lineage: Eukaryota; Metazoa; Chordata; Mammalia; Rodentia; Cricetidae
Source: RefSeq, a predicted model, not a curated record